UACGAAGGGGGCUAGCGUUGCUCGGAUUGACUGGGCGUAAAGGGCGCGUAGGCGGUUUGUACAGUCAGACGUGAAAUUCCUGGGCUCAACCUGGGGGCUGCGUUUGAUACGUAUGGACUUUGAGUUCGGAAGAGGGUCGUGGAAUUCCCAGUGUAGAGGUGAAAUUCGUAGAUAUUGGGUGGAACACCGGUGGCGAAGGCGGCUCACUGGUCCGGUUCUGACGCUGAGGCGCGAAAGCGUGGGGAGCAAACAGG
RNAcentral lists this ribosomal RNA (254 nucleotides) under uncultured bacterium. RNAcentral's name for it is "partial 16S ribosomal RNA". It matches the Rfam family "Bacterial small subunit ribosomal RNA", at positions 524 to 776 of the family's 1533-position model. The record is from RNAcentral.